GUCCCCGUCGUCUAGCCCGGCCUAGGACACCGCCCUUUCACGGCGGUAACACGGGUUCAAAUCCCGUCGGGGACGCCA
This 78-nucleotide transfer RNA is filed under the name Acidobacteriota bacterium. RNAcentral describes it as "Acidobacteria bacterium tRNA-Glu". It matches the Rfam family "tRNA". From Rfam's summary of the family: Transfer RNA (tRNA) molecules are approximately 80 nucleotides in length. Their secondary structure includes four short double-helical elements and three loops (D, anti-codon, and T loops). Further hydrogen bonds mediate the characteristic L-shaped molecular structure. tRNAs have two regions of fundamental functional importance: the anti-codon, which is responsible for specific mRNA codon recognition, and the 3' end, to which the tRNAs corresponding amino acid is attached (by aminoacyl-tRNA synthetases). tRNAs cope with the degeneracy of the genetic code in two manners: having more than one tRNA (with a specific anti-codon) for a particular amino acid; and 'wobble' base-pairing, i.e. permitting non-standard base-pairing at the 3rd anti-codon position. Lineage: Bacteria; Pseudomonadati; Acidobacteriota. The record is from RNAcentral. RNAcentral also lists the same sequence under 2 other names.